GCGUCGGUGGUGCAACAGUUUUAGCACGUGCUCCCAGAAAGAGUAAGAUUUGGGUUCGAAUCCCGGCUGACGCA
Molecule: non-coding RNA, 74 nt
Organism: Parelaphostrongylus tenuis
Lineage: Eukaryota; Metazoa; Nematoda; Chromadorea; Rhabditida; Metastrongylidae
Source: the annotation of a GenBank genome assembly